GCGCGCGUGGCGUAAUUGGUAGCCGCGCUAGACUUAGGAUCUAGUGCCGUGAGGCGUGGGGGUUCGAGUCCCUUCGCGCGCA
RNAcentral lists this transfer RNA (82 nucleotides) under Bacteroides sp. RNAcentral describes it as "tRNA-Leu". It matches the Rfam family "tRNA". From Rfam's summary of the family: Transfer RNA (tRNA) molecules are approximately 80 nucleotides in length. Their secondary structure includes four short double-helical elements and three loops (D, anti-codon, and T loops). Further hydrogen bonds mediate the characteristic L-shaped molecular structure. tRNAs have two regions of fundamental functional importance: the anti-codon, which is responsible for specific mRNA codon recognition, and the 3' end, to which the tRNAs corresponding amino acid is attached (by aminoacyl-tRNA synthetases). tRNAs cope with the degeneracy of the genetic code in two manners: having more than one tRNA (with a specific anti-codon) for a particular amino acid; and 'wobble' base-pairing, i.e. permitting non-standard base-pairing at the 3rd anti-codon position. Lineage: Bacteria; Pseudomonadati; Bacteroidota; Bacteroidia; Bacteroidales; Bacteroidaceae. The record is from RNAcentral. RNAcentral also lists the same sequence under 1 other name.